Ribosomal RNA from Pteropus vampyrus (large flying fox), 119 nucleotides. The record is from Ensembl. NCBI's taxonomy places the organism in Eukaryota, Metazoa, Chordata, Mammalia, Chiroptera, Pteropodidae.
GCCUACGGCCAUGCCGCCCUGAACGUCCCUGAUCCUGUCUGAUCUCGGAAGCUAAGCAGGGUCGGGCCUGGGUAAUAGUUGGAUGGGAGACCACCUAGGAAGACCAGGUGCUGUCGGUG